GAUGAACGCUGGCGGCGUGCCUAAUACAUGCAAGUCGAGCGAACAGACGAGGAGCUUGCUCCUUUGACGUUAGCGGCGGACGGGUGAGUAACACGUAGGUAACCUACCUAUAAGACUGGGAUAACUUCGGGAAACCGGAGCUAAUACCGGAUAAUAUUUCGAACCGCAUGGUUCGAUAGUGAAAGAUGGCUUUGCUAUCACUUAUAGAUGGACCUGCGCCGUAUUAGCUAGUUGGUAAGGUAACGGCUUACCAAGGCAACGAUACGUAGCCGACCUGAGAGGGGGAUCGGCCACACUGGAACUGAGACAAGGUCCCGACUCCUACGGGAGGCAGCAGUAGGGAAGCUUUCGCAAUGGGCGAAAGCCUGACGGAGCAACGCCGCGUGAGUGAUGAAGGUCUUCGGAUCGUAAAACUCUUUUAUUAGGGAAGAACAAACGGGUAAGUAACUGUGCACGUCUUGACGGUACCUAAUCAGAAAGCCACGGCUAACUACGUG
RNAcentral lists this ribosomal RNA (497 nucleotides) under uncultured bacterium. Its description in RNAcentral is "partial 16S ribosomal RNA". It matches the Rfam family "Bacterial small subunit ribosomal RNA", at positions 28 to 507 of the family's 1533-position model. The record is from RNAcentral.